GAUUAACGCUGGCGGCGUGCAUAACACAUGCAAGUCGAACGAUGAAACUCAUUAGAUUUCUUCGGAAUGAAAAUGAAUGGAUUAGUGGCGAACGGGUGAGUAACGCGUGAGUAACCUGCCUUACACAAGGGGAUAGCCUCUGGAAACGGUGAAUAAUACCCUAUGAAACCAGACAAUCGCAUGAUAAUCUGGUCAAAAUGUUUAGUGGUGUAAGAUGGACUUGCGUCUGAUUAGCUAGUUGGUGAGAUAAAAGCUCACCAAGGCAACGAUCAGUAGCCGGCGUGAGAGAGUGUACGUCCACAUUGGGACUGAGACACGGCCCAGACUCCUACGGGAGGCAGCAGUGAUGAAAUAUGCACAAUGGGGGAAACCCUGAUGCAGCGACGCCGCGUGAUUUAGAAGGCCGUCGGGUUGUAAAAAUCUUUUGUAUAGGAAGAAAAUGACAGUACUAUACGAAUAAGGUCCGGCUAAUUACGUG
This 478-nucleotide ribosomal RNA is filed under the name uncultured bacterium. Its description in RNAcentral is "partial 16S ribosomal RNA". It matches the Rfam family "Bacterial small subunit ribosomal RNA", at positions 28 to 507 of the family's 1533-position model. The record is from RNAcentral.